Molecule: transfer RNA, 65 nt
Filed under: Pediopsoides dilatus
Lineage: Eukaryota; Metazoa; Arthropoda; Insecta; Hemiptera; Cicadellidae
Also listed under: 8 other names
Description: tRNA-Leu
Rfam family: tRNA
About the family: Transfer RNA (tRNA) molecules are approximately 80 nucleotides in length.
Source: RNAcentral
UCUAAUAUGGCAGAGUAGUGCAAUGAACUUAAAAUUCGUAUAUAAAUUAAUAUGUUUUUUUAGAA